UGGGGAAUAUUGCACAAUGGGCGCAAGCCUGAUGCAGCGACGCCGCGUGAGGGAUGACGGCCUUCGGGUUGUAAACCUUUGUUAGCAGGGAAGAAGAGAAAUUGACGGUACCUGCAGAGAAAGCGCCGGCUAACUACGUGCCAGCAGCCGCGGUAAUACGUAGGGGGCGAGCGUUGUCCGGAAUUAUUGGGCGUAAAGAGCUUGUAGGCGGUUUGUUGCGUUCGGUGGGAAAAUCCGGGGGUUAACCCCGGGUAUUGCAGUGGGUACGGGCAGACUAGAGUGCAGUAGGGGAGACUGGAAUUCCUGGUGUAGCGGUGGAAUGCGCAGAUAUCAGGAGGAACACCGAUGGCGAAG
RNAcentral lists this ribosomal RNA (354 nucleotides) under uncultured bacterium. RNAcentral's name for it is "bacterial SSU rRNA". It matches the Rfam family "Bacterial small subunit ribosomal RNA", at positions 355 to 720 of the family's 1533-position model. The record is from RNAcentral.